UCUACAUAUACAGAUAAUGCUUAACUUGUAGGGUACAGUUCAAAGGUCACAAUGCCCACAAAAAAUUCCCCACCUCCUUGGAAGUCAUCACUGCCUGCUCCACCCAAGCCAGAACCGUCCCAGUCCUUAUCAUGCCCUGCAUCAUCAACCCAUCCGAAGCUGUGAACUUCUUAAAGAGCUCCAACAGCUUAGCAGUGAGGUGUGAAGCUUGAGGAAAUACCAGCGUUUGAAGAGAUGGCCCACAGUUGGAGGCUGCAAGAGAGCAAGACACUGUCCCGUGGUGCAUGCUCAGCCCCUCUGGACUCGUCGGGACCCCAGCCAGAGCUUUCUGGACCAGGCCCAGAGGGAGUGGCCUGCCCAGCUGGCACAGCAGUCGGCCUUUACUGUGUGUUAGAUGAGGAAACUGAGGAAGAAGGAGGUGCAGUAGCUUGCCUGGAGUUUCACAUCUGACAGAGGAACAGGUCCCCAGUAAAGACACUAAAGAACCCCGGCAUGCGGGCCGCCCUGGGUGUGGGAAUGAACUGGAACAAGAGGCUCCUUUCCAUUUCUGGGCUUCUGUUUUC
Molecule: long non-coding RNA, 563 nt
Organism: Microcebus murinus (gray mouse lemur)
Lineage: Eukaryota; Metazoa; Chordata; Mammalia; Primates; Cheirogaleidae
Source: RefSeq, a predicted model, not a curated record